AGCAUUAUACAGCGAAACUGCGAAUGGCUCAUUAUAUCAGUUAUCGUUUAUUUGAUAGUACCUUACUACAUGGAUAACCGUGGUAAUUCUAGAGCUAAUACAUGCUGAAAAUCCCGACUUCGGAAGGGAUGUAUUUAUUAGAUUAAAAACCAAUGCCCUUCGGGGCUCUUUGGUGAUUCAUAAUAACUUGUCGAAUCGCAUGGCCUUGUGCCGGCGAUGGUUCAUUCAAAUUUCUGCCCUAUCAACUUUCGACGGCUGGGUCUUGGCCAGCCAUGGUGACAACGGGUAACGGAGGGUUAGGGCUCGACCCCGGAGAAGGAGCCUGAGAGACGGCUACUACAUCCAAGGAAGGCAGCAGGCGCGCAAAUUACCCAAUACCGACACGGUGAGGUAGUGACAAUACAUACUGAUACAGGGCUCUUUUGGGUCUUGUAAUUGGAAUGAGUACUAUUUAAAUCCCAUAACGAGGAACAAUUGGAGGGCAAGUCUGGUGCCAGCAGCCGCGGUAAUUCCAGCUCCAAUAGCGUAUAUUAAAGUUGUUGCAGUUAAAAAGCUCGUAGUUGAACCUUGGGCCUGGCUGGCCGGUCCGCCUCACCGCGUGCACUGGUCCGGCCGGGCCUUUCCCUCUGGGGAACCGCAUGCUCUUCACUGAGUGUGCUGGGGAACCAGGACUUUUACUUUGAAAAAAUUAGAGUGUUCAAAGCAGGCCUAUGCUCGAAUACAUUAGCAUGGAAUAAUAGAAUAGGACGUGCGGUCCUAUUUUGUUGGUUUCUAGGACCGCCGUAAUGAUUAAUAGGGACAGUCGGGGGCAUCAGUAUUCAAUUGUCAGAGGUGAAAUUCUUGGAUUUAUUGAAGACUAACUACUGCGAAAGCAUUUGCCAAGGAUGUUUUCAUUAAUCAGGAACGAAAGUUAGGGGAUCGAAGACGAUCAGAUACCGUCGUAGUCUUAACCAUAAACUAUGCCGACUAGGGAUCGGACGAUGUUACUUUUUGACUCGUCCGGCACCUUACACGAAAGUACAAG
Molecule: ribosomal RNA, 1024 nt
Filed under: Sporidesmium tropicale
Lineage: Eukaryota; Fungi; Ascomycota; Sordariomycetes; Sporidesmiaceae
Description: SSU rRNA
Rfam family: Eukaryotic small subunit ribosomal RNA
Source: RNAcentral